This 1208-nucleotide long non-coding RNA is filed under the name Anas platyrhynchos platyrhynchos (common mallard). RNAcentral's name for it is "lncRNA (ENSAPLG00000020369.1)". The record is from RNAcentral. Lineage: Eukaryota; Metazoa; Chordata; Aves; Anseriformes; Anatidae.
GGGCACAUCCAAGUGUGUUUUAAAGCACCUCAGGUCUCACUUGAAGCUUUGUAUUCCAACCACAGUAUUCUGUCAUGCUAAAAAAGCUGCUUAAGGCAAGACAGAUUAGCUGUCCUCCAGAAAUGACUGUACCUCUGUGGACUACAGGCAGGCGGAGGCCGAGCCGUGCUGGAUGCCUGUGUCUCUGACAGGUGAUGCUUGGUCAGGUGGCCCACCAGAUUAGGGGCAUCCACUGCCCACCCCACUGCCCAUGGUGUCCUGAAAAAGAGAUAAAAGCAACGUUAGCUGUCAGUGAUACAGCUGGAUAUCCAUAUUGCCACACGUAACAGUACCCUGGAGAUCCUCUGCAGGGACCAACAUUUUAAUUCCUCCUUUGGUUCGCCAAAAUAGAAAUGUGCCUUUCUGUGGUUCUGUGAAAUGACUUGUUUUAUGUAACUGUACCAAUCUAGCAGAUACACAACCUCCUCUCCCCUCUUUGCAGAUAAAAAAACUGUUUUCCCCCUGGAGGCUGUUAUUGCUGCUGUGGUGGUGGUUACGCUCACCGUGCUUUUUGGAAUUGUGGCUCGAAAAGAUAAAAUUUUUAAGUGCUUCAAGAAAUCAAGUGAAACAGCUCUGUAAGUAUUUGACUGCUUAUUCAUGCAGCUUCCCAGAACAAGCUUCUGAAUUAAAUCCUGUCUUUAAGCCUCAGCAGAAGCUGGGGAACAAAAGACCUCUCAACACACUAACUCCAGCCAGGCUGAGCUCCCCUGCUUCUGCUCUGGCUGAAGUUGGCCUGCACCUCCUCUCCCAGCAGAGAGGCUGGGCAGGAGCACGGGGACAGGAGCACAGAGGCACAGCCCCAGGUGGCUCCUGGCCUGGCCAUCCCAGCACCCUGCAAAGCCUGUGGGGAGGCAGUGGGGGAAAACGGGAUGCCCCAAUACAGCCCAAGUGAAUUCCACUCGGAUGUUUUUGUAUUAUUUUUUUUCCAUAGUAGGUGAUUUUUCUUUUUUUUGUUUUCAUUUCGCUGCAGGUAAGGAUCAGCAAGUUCCCGUGCACGCCCACAGCUUCUAGUGGCGGAACACAAACCCCUGCAAAGAGAUGAUUAAACCCUGCCAUAAGGCUCGAGUUCCUGUGGUCUUUUUGAAAUACAAAUACUUCUUCACGGCUCCCGAUUCUGGUUUAUUGUUUAAAGCACAGCCGGGGGGGGCAGGCUGCCAAACCUUCCCUGU